Molecule: non-coding RNA, 219 nt
Organism: Triticum aestivum (bread wheat)
Lineage: Eukaryota; Viridiplantae; Streptophyta; Magnoliopsida; Poales; Poaceae
Source: Rfam
ACGACCUUACUUGAACAGGAUCUGUUCUAUAGGCUCGUACCGCUGCAUCCUUUACCAAUAAGGAGGCAAGCACUUCAGUCUGGUUGAUGCAUUCUGCCCUCUGGACCAGAGCGUGAUUAACGGCCAGGAUUCCCUGAUGGGGCAAUCCGACGGCUGUAGAGGAUCGUUCCUGCCUGGCUCACACCUGUGCAGGGUGGCCCAGAGGUUGUCUGACAGACU